RNAcentral lists this ribosomal RNA (810 nucleotides) under uncultured bacterium. RNAcentral describes it as "bacterial SSU rRNA". It matches the Rfam family "Bacterial small subunit ribosomal RNA", at positions 51 to 850 of the family's 1533-position model. The record is from RNAcentral.
ACACAUGCAAGUCGAGGGGAAACGACAUCGAAAGCUUGCUUUUGAUGGGCGUCGACCGGCGCACGGUUGAGUAACGCGUAUCCAACCUGCCCACCACUUGGGAAUAACCUUGCGAAAGUAAGACUAAUACCCAAUGACGUCUCUAGAAGACAUCUGAAGGAGAUUAAAGAUUUAUCGGUGAUGGAUGGGGAUGCGUCUGAUUAGCUUGUUGGCGGGGUAACGGCCCACCAAGGCGACGAUCAGUAGGGGUUCUGAGAGGAAGGUCCCCCACAUUGGAACUGAGACACGGUCCAAACUCCUACGGGAGGCAUCUUUGAGGAAUAUUGGUCAAUGGACGAGAGUCUGAACCAUCUUUUGUUGGCGUGCAGGAUGACGGCCCUAUGGGUUGUAAACUGCUUUUAUAAGGGAAUAAAGUGAGCCUCGUGAGGCUUUUUGCAUGUACCUUAUGAAUAAGGACCGGCUAAUUCCGUGCCAGCAGCCGCGGUAAUACGGAAGGUCCGGGCGUUAUCCGGAUUUAUUGGGUUUAAAGGGAGCGUAGGCCGGAGAUUAAGCGUGUUGUGAAAUGUAGACGCUCAACGUCUGCACUGCAGCGCGAACUGGUUUCCUUGAGUACGCACAAAGUGGGCGGAAUUCGUGGUGUAGCGGUGAAAUGCUUAGAUAUCACGAAGAACUCCGAUUGCGAAGGCAGCUCACUGGAGCGCAACUGACGCUGAAGCUCGAAAGUGCGGGUAUCGAACAGGAUUAGAUACCCUGGUAGUCCGCACGGUAAACGAUGGAUGCCCGCUGUUUGCGUCUGACGUAAGCGGCCAA